AUCCAGCUGAUGAGUCCCAAAUAGGAAGAAACUCGCGUCUUAGAU
RNAcentral lists this non-coding RNA (45 nucleotides) under Schistosoma haematobium. The record is from RNAcentral. Lineage: Eukaryota; Metazoa; Platyhelminthes; Trematoda; Strigeidida; Schistosomatidae.